RNAcentral lists this transfer RNA (72 nucleotides) under Camelus bactrianus (Bactrian camel). It matches the Rfam family "tRNA". From Rfam's summary of the family: Transfer RNA (tRNA) molecules are approximately 80 nucleotides in length. Their secondary structure includes four short double-helical elements and three loops (D, anti-codon, and T loops). The record is from Rfam by way of RNAcentral. RNAcentral also lists the same sequence under 2 other names. Lineage: Eukaryota; Metazoa; Chordata; Mammalia; Artiodactyla; Camelidae.
GAGGGUAUAGCUCAGUGGCAGAGCACCUGCUUGGCAUGAGCAAGGUCCUGGGUUCAAUCCCCAAUACCUCCA